AUGAACGCUGGCGGCGUGCCUAACACAUGCACGUCGAGCGGCAGCGAGGGGUGCUUGCACCCUGUCGGCGAGCGGCGGACGGCUGAGUAGCGCGUGGGACCGUGCCCCAAAGUGAGGAAUAACUGCCCGAAAGGGUAGCUAAUACCGCAUAUUAUCUUCGGAUCAAAGGAUUUAUCCGCUUUGGGAGCGGCUCGCGUCGGAUUAGGUAGUUGGUGAGGUAAUGGCUCACCAAGCCGACGAUCCGUAGCUGGUCUGAGAGGAUGACCAGCCAGACUGGAACUGAGACACGGUCCAGACUCCUACGGGAGGCAGCAGUGAGGAAUCUUCCACAAUGGGCGAAAGCCUGAUGGAGCAACGCCGCGUGCAGGACGAAGGCCUUCGGGUUGUAAACUGCUUUUAUAAGUGAGGAAUAUGACGGUAACUUAUGAAUAAGGAUCGGCUAACUACGUG
RNAcentral lists this ribosomal RNA (450 nucleotides) under uncultured bacterium. Its description in RNAcentral is "partial 16S ribosomal RNA". It matches the Rfam family "Bacterial small subunit ribosomal RNA", at positions 29 to 507 of the family's 1533-position model. The record is from RNAcentral.